UUCAUGUUCAGUGAAGUGAGUAAAACCGCAUCACCCCAGCCAGGACUGGAAGUCAGGAGUGGGCAGUUGCUGGAUGUGUGUGCUGGCCGCCCCUGAAGAAAAUGUGUAUCCCAGAGGCUUUCGUCCCCACCAUCUUCGGAGCGAGGCCAGCCACCAGAUGCCCCGGGAUUCUUUCAAGAUGAAGGGAGGAGCCGAUGGAAGACUUCCACCACUGAUACUUCAAGCAGAGAUAACUACCCCAGCCUCUGAUCCAGGCAGUCCGAGGAGAUCUUGAAAACAUGCCUGGAAUUCACUUCAGCAUGUCCACGUCUAAGGAGAGAGUCAGCAAGUGCUUCCUCUCCUGAAGCCUGGAGCCAGCUUGGAGCUGCCCACAUGGGGAGUGGUUGGCUGGGGAGAGCUCUGGAUGGGGGGCUCUGGUCAUAGCCUUAUCUAUGUCACACUGGGUGACGUCCUGUGUAUGGGUGGUUUUGGGUCCUUAGCCUUCGGCAUUUCUAAAAUGAGAAGGCUGGAUUGUUCUCGCCCAGAUCCAAAGCCUAUCAUCUCUGGAAUCUUGGAGCCCUGGUUUGAAGUCUCAGCUUGCAUAUUACCCGGGGCAGAUUAUUUAUCCCCUCUGUCCUUCAAUUUUCUUAUCGGUGAAAUAAUCCUGUUAGGAUUCGUUGAGAUAAUGUGAGCAUUCCUAAGAUAAGCUCCCCACCCUCCACAGUGUGUCAUCACCUAACACAGCUCUUGCCCCAAAGAAAAACUGACGGCAGAAUAAUAGCCUGGGAUCUAAGGUGGCAGUCAGAUGCAUAGGGUUUGAAAACUCACAACCACCAGGACAUGCUAAGCCUGCCUGGAAACUUUAGUGUUGUACAGUGGAAACCACAGAAGAGUCUGAAGGGUUUGAAGUUUGUGGGUGGGGAAUUGGGCAAAUCAUGUUCCCUCUAAGAAUAAACAACAACAGUUCUUCACUUUUUUUUCCUGGGGCUUGGGCAACUUCACAGUUGCAACUGAGGAUGUGACGAAAACUGUAUAACCUGCCCCGGAAAGAGGCACAUAUGCUUACACACACUGAAUUCUGUAUUCAAACCUGCAAGUUUCACGGACUUUAGGACACCCAUUCCUGAAUACUUAAUGGCUUUGGAAGUUUCUCUUCAAGCAAAAGGAGCCUCGGGAACGGGUGGCUACGCAGAGGCUUCCUGGGGAGCAUGGUUGGGGCUCACUUGAAAGAGGUGCCACACAGCAGACUCUCCCGAAGAUGCGGACUUAGCUGAGGGUGGUUUAGGGAGCCCAGGGAGGUUUUUCUGCCACCUUCCAUGUCUCUUUAGAGAGUCACAGAUCCUGGUCUUCAGAAGCCCCUGUCAACAGAACAAGUAU
Molecule: long non-coding RNA, 1356 nt
Filed under: Homo sapiens (human)
Lineage: Eukaryota; Metazoa; Chordata; Mammalia; Primates; Hominidae
Description: HSALNT0116858
Source: RNAcentral